This 439-nucleotide long non-coding RNA is filed under the name Ovis aries (sheep). RNAcentral describes it as "lncRNA (ENSOARG00000026427.1)". The record is from RNAcentral. Lineage: Eukaryota; Metazoa; Chordata; Mammalia; Artiodactyla; Bovidae.
CACGCCGGCCCGGGGCCCCCGCCCCCGUGCGGUGCCGCGCGGGCUAUUGUGCCGCCCUGCGCCCGGCCCCCAGCCUCCGACCGGGAAGGGUGGAGGUGCCGCCCCGAGGGUGUCACCGGCCGCUGCACUCCAAAGGACUUUUGGAGGAACUUUGGCACAUAUUUGCCGGGGAAAAUGUCCUGGGCCUGGAGCCACGGUUAAUUAAGAGUUUCCGGAACUAAUUUUGUGUCAAGAGGUGUUGAGAUCUCUCAUGUGGCUCAAAAAUUUGUCAAGAACCUUAAAGAAAGAGAAAGAAGAAAAAGGAAAAAAGAAAGGAGGAAAGGAAGAGAAAUCAAAGGAGCAAAAACGCAGAGCGAUAUUUUCCCUUGACACCCAAGGCCGCAGUAUACAGAAACAGAGACGAAGCCCUACUUCCAUGCUUGGGAGAGAGUACAAUUGA